GACAGUGACCCAAGAGGCAUUCCCAGAAUAUACAUGAGUGGCGUACAGGAGAACCCGUAUUCCUGAUAGUGGUUAAUGUUUCAGCUCCUCUUCGGAAACAACCUUCCACCGGAAUCACCAGGUACAGAGUCCUCCUUUCUGCUGUGACGCUUCUGCCACUGGACUCCUCCCCCGACUUGCCAAUACCGCAACUAUAUCCACUAAAUCUGC
Molecule: long non-coding RNA, 210 nt
Organism: Pseudophryne corroboree (corroboree frog)
Lineage: Eukaryota; Metazoa; Chordata; Amphibia; Anura; Myobatrachidae
Exons: 3
Source: RefSeq, a predicted model, not a curated record